RNAcentral lists this ribosomal RNA (460 nucleotides) under uncultured bacterium. RNAcentral describes it as "partial 16S ribosomal RNA". It matches the Rfam family "Bacterial small subunit ribosomal RNA", at positions 338 to 795 of the family's 1533-position model. The record is from RNAcentral.
CCUACGGGAGGCAGCAGUGAGGAAUAUUGGUCAAUGGACGCAAGUCUGAACCAGCCAUGCCGCGUGCAGGAAGACGGCUCUAUGAGUUGUCAACUGCUUUUGUACGAGGGUAAAUCCCGAUACAUGUAUCGGGUUGAAAGUAUCGUACGAAUAAGAAUCGGCUAACUCCGUGCCAGCCGCCGCGGUAAUACGGAGGAUUCAAGCGUUAUCCGGAUUUAUUGGGUUGAAGGGGUGCGUAGGCGGUUCGAUAAGUUAGAGGUGAAAUCCCGGGGCUCAACCACGGCAGUGCCGGUGAUACUGUCGGGCUAGAGUAUAGUUGAGGUAGGCGGAAUGCAUGGUGUAGCGGUGAAAUGCAUAGAGAUCAUACAGAACACCGAUUGCGAAGGCAGCUUACCAAACUACGACUGACGUUGAGGCACGAAAGCGUGGGGAGCAAACAGGAUUAGAUACCCGUGUAGUC